CUUCACCGACCCCAGCCACAGCGGCUGACCGGCGGGCCGGUCCUGGCCGUAGGUCGCCAGGACCGCCUGCGCCUC
RNAcentral lists this antisense RNA (75 nucleotides) under Micromonospora chokoriensis. RNAcentral's name for it is "ASpks TB sRNA". It matches the Rfam family "ASpks TB sRNA". The record is from RNAcentral. Lineage: Bacteria; Bacillati; Actinomycetota; Actinomycetes; Micromonosporales; Micromonosporaceae.